RNAcentral lists this long non-coding RNA (2208 nucleotides) under Nicotiana tabacum (common tobacco). RNAcentral describes it as "long non-coding RNA (NTAB_LNC005002)". The record is from RNAcentral. Lineage: Eukaryota; Viridiplantae; Streptophyta; Magnoliopsida; Solanales; Solanaceae.
AACUUGAUAACGACUUUAGUCUAUUAAAUUUAAAAUAAAAUAAAAACUGCUAAGAUAGGGAGUGUUAUUGAUUUUUUAGGAGUCCAUAACAUUGAUGCCCUGCUCUAUAAGUACUUUGCUAACCAUUACAGUAAAAAAAAAUUGAAUGUCAAAUAAUACCCUUUUUAGUCUCAGAUAUGGGUUUGAUUAUACAGUCCCCAAACUGAGACAAAUAAACAAAUGACACAAAAUAAUCAUGAAUGACAGAAAGAAAAGAAGAGUAAAGACGUCAUAGGCGUCCCAAGCGUUCCGCUUGUUUUUCUUGCUAUCUGGUGACUUUAGAAGUUGAGACGUGAUGACUCCAUGCUCGGGAAUGGAGAGUCUUGCAUUAAGACUCCAUAUUUUGCUCCAAGUACAUAUGCGCAAAAAAAAAAGAGAAACAAAACAAGAAUUAGAAGUGGAAUUUGAUUCUUAAGCCUGCAUAAAAAAAACAAAGACAAACGAAAACCAAAACAAACGAAGUUCAAACGGAUUCUUAAGUUAAGAACUAUUUCUUUAUUUAAGGUUUCAACAAUUAGUGGCAACAAAAUUUACUACAUAAACUGAAAUGCAUAUUUUAGUCUAAUGAUAGUAAGAAAAGAUACAAGUAUGCCUUCUGAUAUAAAACCACAUUCAAAUAUUAUAUGACAUUUAGACAGAACUUGAAGCCUCUUAGAAUUAGUGCUUUUUAUAUAAAGAAAUCCUAAGUUUAUGCCAUAAGCAACAUAAACUUAUACUCAACUUUGAUUUUAAUUGUUGGUUUUCAAAAAAACAGAAUGUUCUAACUUUAUCAGGCAGGAACUUUGUUGCAAACGAAUUCAACAAGUCUCUCCUUUAGCAAGUCUCUCCCUUCACACAUCAUGCUACCCAUGAAUAUAAAAUGCCUAGUCUUUGCUAGCAGAAACUAGUUACUGCAGUGCUCUAAAUUAAACGAAUUUCGCUCUUUGGGUAAAUAAUAUUCUAAAGUGUUGACGGUUAUUCAAUAGGGCUCAGAUGAAUGGUCAGAGAUAUGCUUUCCAGAUCAUUUAGAAUGAAUAGAAUAUCCAAACCUAUUAACAGGAUCUAUAGAAUAAACUUAAUACAUGUAUAUCAACAUUUCAAUAGAGUAAACUUCUUUUAUACACCGUUCAAGAAAGAAAACAAUGAUUAAUCUUAAAAUGUUCAAGAGCUAUAGACUGUGGAAUAUCUUAUGAACAUGAUUCUAAGCAGUCAAGAACUGACUUAAUACAUGUACAUCUGACUUAUAACUUCAAACCUCUCAUUCUAACUUAACCGUCCUUCCAAUUUUUUAGAAGCCUGAAACAUGAUUUCUAAGGCGUGAUUUCAAAAAUAAAAUUAAAAAAAAAAAGAUCUUUUCCCCUUAAUAUAUCCAGAACAUAACAUACUGGACAAAAUUCAAAUAUGUGACUUAAGUCAAAGGGAGUAUUCAAUCCUAGGAGCAUGACAUCUAUUCUUGUUAUGUUUCUAAUGAAACUUUCACACAUGGAAAUAUUUAUUCAAUAACCAAACAAAACAUAAUAAGCCAAAUACCUUACUAUACUGUCUCACCAUCGUAAGAAAUAAAAUAUAGCCUACCAGUUAGUCACAUUUUAUCAUCUAGAAUAGAGAAAAGGAGAAAGUACUGACCUGCUUUAGAGCAGUGAACUGAGGGCGAGGAUCUUGGGUCCGCCACGCGACCUUAAGUUCUACUAGCAAGCAACGAAAGAAUUUAUCUACUAUUGUCGAAGCCAUACAGAGACAAAGAAAGAACUCGAAGAAGAUCAGUUUUUGGGAAAGAGAAAAAACAAUAGGGCAUAAGUGCUUUAGGGAGGAGAGGCAGCCAAAAAAAACCUCUCAAAUGUGGGGUGAAAGUAGGCGGCUCUAGCUUCUGGUUUUUUGAGUGAAAUGGUGGAUAACAACCAUCAGUUUUUUAGGGUAAAGGGGGCGACUCCAAAAACAUCUCCAGAUGGACUCCAAGUGCUGGUUUUUAUAGGUGAAAAUCUAGGGUUCUUGAUUUGGGCGGGAUUUUGAAAUUGAGUCAAGGAUACUAAACCAUUUGAAAAUUGAACGUUGGUACUGCAGAGAAAUUAAAUGGAGGGCAUGGCUUCUUGCUUCAAAAUAGUAAUGGCAAGUCUGCCAUGGCUGAGCAACACUGAAGUUUUGUGAAGAAAAGGAAAGGGAGAAAAUAAGCGGUUGUUUGGUAGAGAGAAG